RNAcentral lists this ribosomal RNA (537 nucleotides) under Triticum aestivum (bread wheat). Its description in RNAcentral is "partial small subunit ribosomal RNA". The record is from RNAcentral. Lineage: Eukaryota; Viridiplantae; Streptophyta; Magnoliopsida; Poales; Poaceae.
AUGGUUUUCAAGGAACUUAAUUAUGAUAAUUGUUCGUUAAUAUAUUGUAUUUCCUUGUUGCAAUCCGUGUUGACUUCUUCUCAUUCUUAUAAUCAAAAUAAAGCUUUUACCAAACAUAUUGUUGAUGCCUUGAUGCAAUCUUAUGAGGAAAAACUUAAUUUGGAAGUUUCUAUAACUAGAAAACUUUAUGAUGAGUGGGAAAGUACUAUAAAGAUUAAAAUUAAAGAUCAUGAGUGCUAUGCUUUGUGUGAUUUAGGUGCUAGUGUUUCCACGAUUCCGAAAACUUUAUGUGAUGUGCUAGGUUUCCAUGUUUUUGAUGAUUGCUCUUUAAACUUGCACCUUGCAGAUUCCACCAUUAAUAAACCUAUGGGAAGAAUCAAUGAUGUUCUUAUUGUUGCAAAUAGGAAUUAUGUACCCAUAUAUUUUAUCGUUCCUGAUAUAGAUUGUAAUCUUUCAUGUCCUAUUAUUCUUGGUAGACCUUUCCUUAGAAUGAUUGGUGCAAUUAUUGAUAUGAAGGAAGGGAAUAUUAGAUUCUAA